AAAAAAAAAAAAAGUAGCUACUAGAAAAAUUUAAGUUAUUUAUAUGGCUCACAUUAUCUUUCUAUUGCUUUCUUUGCUAAGUUUAUUUCAAUUCCAUUAUCUGCCUAGUUUCUAUGCUAGCUGCCUAACUUCUAUGCUAGCUAGUGAUUUGCUGCAUAUGAUUAACAACUGUUUCAUUUUAAUUCAUUAUAAGUGCCUGGAAACUGCAAUAAUGCUAAAUUGUCUUCCCAUAUUUUGGAAACAAGGUUAAAAAGUUCUGUAGCACCCUAUAGUUGAUUUUAUUAGUAAGAACUUCAGUGCAGACUAUCUACAGGAAACUGAUUUUUGUAGAUGUUAUCACAAUUCAUUUUGAAAUCUGUAAGUUGGAUAGUGUUUAUUAACUCUUCUGCAGAUAAAUUAUUUCUACAAUGAAAAUCUCCAAGCUAGUACAUGAAUAAGAUUGGACUAGAGAAAAAGCUUAUUUGAAAAACAUUUUAUGAGGGUUUUCAUUUAUUGUCUAAACACUAAAAUUUUUUUGCAGUGUUCCAAUUGACACAGGCCAAGAAAUGCCUGUACCGGUAACAAACACACCUAGGAAACAGGGCUGGCUGCCAUAUCAAAAAGUCUCUCUGCUAAGGUUCAUCUUAAAGAAAAUCAUGCUAACUCACAAGAAUAUCCGAAGAGGAGUCAUGCAGUAUUGUCAACUUCAGAGAGUAGCAGAGGAUGCACAUUUAAUUUCUUUACCAUUUGCUACCAUCUGAAGUUAGUAACAUUUUCUGGCUAAUCACCAAGCACUCAGAAAGAAAGAAAUAGAGCAAAUUUGGUGCAUCGUUGUCUUCCAUAUCUCCUUUCGAAGUCAUUUCCACAGUAUAAGUGCUAAAGCACAGAAAAGAAGCUAGGCUCCACUUUUUACUCUCAUGAACAAAAGUCUUCCCAUCGAUUUCUACACAGCUGCUGCAUUUGUCUUCAUCCCUUUCCUGAAGAGUCUUGUUGCUGUGGUCUUGCUCUAGGGCUGCUUUCAGCAACCUUUCUGACGCAGGUUUAAUGCUGAUUAGCCCUAAAACAAUUCUAGGGCAGGGCUCCCUGCCAGGAUAAAGAAUGAACAAAAUUGGUUUGCAUAUAGGCCAGCUGCAGUUGCUGCAGCUAGAGUCUGUCAAACAAGGACCAUUUUCUUGUUUACCAAAAUGAGGUUAAAUUAGCACAGCAUGAGGCAAAAGAAAGAUUUAAAAAAAAAAAAGAAAAGAAAAGAAAAUUAGCAAUGCUUUUGAGUAUGAUGCAGUGAGUGUGGAAUUAAAGUGAGUUUAAGUUAGUUUGAGAAGGGAAGGUAAUAUACAGUACUAAAAGCUUGAUUAAAAGCUGUUUGAAGAUAUUUGCUUGCUAACGAUCUUAGUUUAAAAAAAAAAAAAAGGUAUAUUUGAAUAGGGCUUCAAAGCCCACAGAUUACAUUUAGACAAGUCAGUUGACCCAUUUAUAUUGAGUAUGUGCCUCAUGCUUAGCUCUGGUCCGGCACAAGGGUAUAGAGGUGGACAUUUAAUAGAGGAGGACACUGUCUUUGAGACUGGGUUUCUGGAGACUCUUAAUUCAAGCCUCAGCUCUGUCUUUAAUUCUCACCUUAGGCAAACGAUGUUAACUGAGCAUCUGUGUUCUCCUAAUGUAAACAGUGAGAGAGUGAGAGGGACUGCUCGGGCUUUUAAAGAUAAUUCAAGUCUAAUAUCUUUUGAAUUAUUUGUGUAGUGUUAUUUCCUAAAAUAUUUCAAUCAAGUUUUAUGUGUUCAUUGUCUCUGACAGUGGGACAUCCAGUCUAGAUGAGGAGGAAAGAUGAGCUAUGUAAUCAGAGAAGCUGAACGUGAGAGGUUUCUGACUUCCAGAGCUUCAGUUUACAAAGCUCUUUUUCCCUACCUCUCCACUUUGCGCUGCUCCAUUGCAGAGACUGCCCAUGGAUCCACCUUUGGGAACUCAGGCUUUUUAUUCCAGCAAUGCAAGGCUGGGUUGAGGGAAGGAGCCCCCACUUUCUCAUCCACCUGCAAAGGCAGAGUACAUAGCUGCAGGUAACAAGUUAUAGGAAGGGACAGUGUGAGGCAGAAAGGCACAGUAAAGGAUCAACUUCAUAGUGAUUGAUGAUCCCCAAAGUGUCAUUUGACUUCUUAGACUCCCAGAACCCCUGUGCUUCACCUCCCAGCCUUUCAUCAACUCUGGAUUCAAGGACUUCUGAACUUGAUCUCUGUCACUUUCUCCUUGCUGACUUUCCCACAUCCCAGUCUUCAAUCAUUAAAAGCAUCCCUACUAGGUUAGGGCUGGGAAGUGAGGAGACUUAAUCAUCUUGUAACAUUGUUCCUAUGGGAGGUGAAUUAUUUUAUAGACUAACGUCCAAAUACAAUCAUUAGUAAAACUAAGGCUACAACUGUUAAUUUAACUGGAGCUUGUAUAGUUAUGGAGAGAUCCUUUCUUUUAUCAAUUCAUAUUUCUAUGUACUUCUCAUUCAGUACUGUGCUAUACUUUUCACUGCCCUUCACCUCAGCUAAGAUGGUUUUCACCUUAAGUCUCUAGACAAAGGCAGCAAACAGCCAA
Cercocebus atys (sooty mangabey) is the source of this 2547-nucleotide long non-coding RNA. RefSeq lists it as uncharacterized. The transcript has 2 exons. Lineage: Eukaryota; Metazoa; Chordata; Mammalia; Primates; Cercopithecidae. The record is from RefSeq and is a predicted model, not a curated record.